AACGAACGCUGGCGGCAUGCCUAACACAUGCAAGUCGAACGAGACCUUCGGGUCUAGUGGCGCACGGGUGCGUAACGCGUGGGAACCUGCCCUUAGGUUCGGAAUAACUCCCCGAAAGGGGUGCUAAUACCGGAUAAUGUCUUCGGACCAAAGAUUUAUCGCCUUUGGAUGGGCCCGCGUUGGUUUAGCUAGUUGGUAGGGUAAAAGCCUACCAAGGCGACGAUCCAUAGCUGGUCUGAGAGGAUGAUCAGCCACACUGGGACUGAGACACGGCCCAGACAUCGUAGGGUGGGAGCAAGUGGGAAUAUUAGACAAUGGGAGAAAACCUGAUCCAGCCAUGCCGCGUGAGUGAUGAAGGCCUUAGGGUUGUAAAGCUCUUUUACCCGGGAUGAUAAUGACAGUACCGGGAAAAUAAGCUCCGGCUAACUCCGUG
RNAcentral lists this ribosomal RNA (433 nucleotides) under uncultured bacterium. Its description in RNAcentral is "partial 16S ribosomal RNA". It matches the Rfam family "Bacterial small subunit ribosomal RNA", at positions 29 to 507 of the family's 1533-position model. The record is from RNAcentral.